CGAGCGAGAAGCACCUUCGGGUGUGAGUACAGCGGCGAACGGGUGAGUAACACGUGGGCAACCUGCCCCAGAGACUGGGAUAACGUUCCGAAAGGAACGCUAAUACCGGAUAAUGCGCGACCUGCCAAGUGGGUCGCGCCAAAUGGUAGCGUAAGCUUCUACUCUGGGAUGGGCCCGCGCCGGAUUAGCUUGUUGGUGAGGUAACGGCUCACCAAGGCGACGAUCCGUAGCUGGUCUGAGAGGACGAUCAGCCACACUGGGACUAAGACACGGCCCAGACUCCUACGGGAGGCAGCAGUGGGGAAUCUUGCGCAAUGGGCGAAAGCCUGACGCAGCAACGCCGCGUGAGCGAAGACGGCCUUCGGGUUGUAAAGCUCUGUCAGGAGGGACGAAGCCACUCAGGUUAAUAGCCGAGAGGGUGACGGUACCUCCAGAGGAAGCCCCGGCUAACUACGUGCCAGCAGCCGCGGUAAUACGUAGGGGGCAAGCGUUGUCCGGAAUCAUUGGGCGUAAAGCGCGUGUAGGCGGCCAUCCAAGUCUGAUGUGAAAGCUCGGGGCUCAACCCCGAGUCUGCAUUGGAAACUGGUUGGCUAGAGUCCGGAAGAGGAGACUGGAAUUCCUGGUGUAGCGGUGAAAUGCGCAGAUAUCAGGAAGAACACCGGUGGCGAAGGCGGGUCUCUGGGACGGUACUGACGCUGAGACGCGAAAGCGUGGGGAGCAAACAGGAUUAGAUACCCUGGUAGUCCACGCCGUANACGAUGGGCACUAGGUGUGGGAGNUGUCGACUCCUUCCGUGCCGUAGCUAACGCAUUAAGUGCCCCGCCUGGGGAGUACGGCCGCAAGGCUAAAAC
This 851-nucleotide ribosomal RNA is filed under the name uncultured bacterium. RNAcentral describes it as "bacterial SSU rRNA". It matches the Rfam family "Bacterial small subunit ribosomal RNA", at positions 63 to 900 of the family's 1533-position model. The record is from RNAcentral.